AGAGGGAGAUUCGAAUUUUUCGGAGAGGAAAGUGUGUGAUUUUUUUUCGCCUUGUAUAUACCCAAGCUUUAUUGGAGUAUGCGUUAACGAUCGAUUGGUAACUCCGAACGUCGAGUCCUUGUAUCGUCCGGCUAAUCGACCCCCGAAAACCCGCUAACAAAAUCAACGCAACGAAGCCAACCUAUCGUCGAUCUCUCUCGUCCAGUUUCCCAUCUCGGCGGCUGCAUUCCAGCACUAUGGGUCCCCCACAAGCUCCUCUCUCGUCGCGCGAUGCAGCAGCAGCAGCAGCAGCGCCUCGGGAGAAAGGAAGGGCGACAAAGGCGCGCGGAGAAGGGAUGGAUACAGGAAGAGGGGGGGGGGACACCUCGAGAGCUCUCGCGCUCGGCGCGGGUUUCAUUCAGUACGGCCCGAUGAAUGAACGGCGCCGAGUCACGGGGCAAUACGUAUACCAGAGUGCAGCAUCGCCAGCAGUCUCCGCAUACACGUAUAUAUAGGUAUACACGCGCGCAGUGAUGGACGGAAAAGCCGAAAAUUUCGAGUAUACACAGAGAGAGAGAGAGAGCGGAGGAGGUCCUCGAACGCGGAAGUGAAAGCUAUAUACACACAGCAGUCGUAGUCGUCGUGGUCCCCCACUUCUGUACUGUGUGAGCAUGUAUAUAUAUGUAUAUGUGUGUGUGUGUACUCUCUUUUGAAAUGUGGGUCACGCAGAGAAGAGGAGGUGGCGGUGCGGCGGCGGCGCGGGCUUCCGAUCUACGUCACUUCCCGCAGCGACGACGACCGGCUCACACUUGGCCGAAGGCACUCGGAGCGCAAACAACUACGUCGUAUGUAUAGUGAUAAUUCGCACAUGUACGGACUUCUGUGACGUUAGGAGAACUCGUGCGCGAGAUCGGGAGGAUUGUGUGCUGGUGAACUCGGAUUUAUAGUAUAGUAUAAUUGGUGGAUCUAUAGCCUACGUGUGCAACGAUGCUGUCGAGGACGACGAUUAUCAUCAGUGCGGACCACGUCGCGGAGGAUAACUUUUUCUCCGAUCCACUACAGCCUUGCUCGACUUCUAUGGACUUCCAAGGAAACAACUCACUUUCGUCUGUGAGAAUGGCUCCAAAUCGUCAAAUUCCUUGGCGCCUUUAAAGACGGAAGAAGAAGAAUAAGAAGCAGAGGACCGUGUCAAAGAAACGCCAGCUCAUGCUUGACGACGAACCGCAGCUCAUAUACACGAAAUAUACACGCUUCCAAUAAUAUUUGCUUUCCCAACCACGAGCACCACUCUGCAUUAUAUAUCCCUGCGUCAUCCGGCUCACUUUUUCAAGCUAGAUUAUUAGGAGCAAUAUUCUCUGGGUCCAUCGAGCGGAUCGUGUC
Nasonia vitripennis (jewel wasp) is the source of this 1359-nucleotide long non-coding RNA. RefSeq lists it as uncharacterized. The record is from RefSeq and is a predicted model, not a curated record. The transcript has 3 exons. NCBI's taxonomy places the organism in Eukaryota, Metazoa, Arthropoda, Insecta, Hymenoptera, Pteromalidae.